RNAcentral lists this ribosomal RNA (515 nucleotides) under uncultured bacterium. RNAcentral's name for it is "partial 16S ribosomal RNA". It matches the Rfam family "Bacterial small subunit ribosomal RNA", at positions 28 to 523 of the family's 1533-position model. The record is from RNAcentral.
GAUGAACGCUGGCGGCGUGCCUAAUACAUGCAAGUCGAGCGAAUGGAUUAAGAGCUUGCUCUUAUGAAGUUAGCGGCGGACGGGUGAGUAACACGUGGGUGACCUGCCCAUAAGACUGGGAUAACUCCGGGAAACCGGGGCUAAAACCGGAUAACAUUUUGAACCGCAUGGUUCGAAAUUGAAAGGCGGCUUCGGCUGUCACUUAUGGAUGGACCCGCGUCGCAUUAGCUAGUUGGUGAGGUAACGGCUCACCAAGGCAACGAUGCGUAGCCGACCGCGGAGGGUGAUCGGCAACAGUGGGACGGAGACACGGCCCAGACUCCGACGGGAGGCAGCAGUAGGGAAUCUUCCGCAAUGGACGAAAGUCUGACGGAGCAACGCCGCGUGAGUGAUGAAGGCUUUCGGGUCGUAAAACUCUGUUGUUAGGGAAGAACAAGUGCUAGUUGAAUAAGCUGGCACCUUGACGGUACCUAACCAGAAAGCCACGGCUAACUACGUGCCAGCAGCCGCCGUAA